AAAAGAAGCUGGAAAGAUAGCAAAGCAUUUGGUUCAGUCACUUAACAUAAAAAUAAUGAAAAAAAAAUAAAAAAAUAAAAAUAAUGAAGGAGAGAGAAAAAGAGAAGAACAAAGACAGUCUUCCUGGGAAAGGAGAAACACAGAACUUGUUAGUCACAUAUAUUACCUAUGUGACAUCUCAAGAUGGAUUUGAAAUCUCUUACCAUUCGGUGUUAGAAGAAGGGGAAAGUAUUGUCCAAGAUAAUAAUUACCUUUUAAGACUCACAGCCUCCAUCUUUGGAAAAACAAGAACAAAUAUUCAAGAAUCAAGAUGCUCUUGAAACCCCACAAGAAAAAGGAACUUGUCUCCAAGUGGAGGGAAUUUAUAUGAAAACACUGCCUUUAGCAGGAAGGCAC
RNAcentral lists this long non-coding RNA (396 nucleotides) under Vulpes vulpes (red fox). RNAcentral describes it as "lncRNA (ENSVVUG00000018396.1)". The record is from RNAcentral. Lineage: Eukaryota; Metazoa; Chordata; Mammalia; Carnivora; Canidae.